This 3657-nucleotide long non-coding RNA is filed under the name Olea europaea subsp. europaea. The record is from RNAcentral. Lineage: Eukaryota; Viridiplantae; Streptophyta; Magnoliopsida; Lamiales; Oleaceae.
CAAAUGCUUGCAGUGUUGUUUAGAGGAAGAAAGGUGACAAGUUAGCAGAGAAGAAGAAUGGCUUCCAAACCAGGGAUCCUUACUGAAUGGCCAUGGACAUGUCUUGGGAACUUCAAGGUAUCCCCCCCCCCAACCCUCUCUCUGUAUAUAUGUGUAUGUAUAUGUAUAAACAUACUCACAUUUGAGCUGCUGUAAUAAUAUGUUUCCAUUUUCAACGUGGAUAAAGUAUCUGAUAUUGGCUCCGUGGGUGAUUCAAGCAACGUACUCGUUCAUGAUGGAGGAUGAAGCUGAAAGGGAUUUUUCUCACUUUUUUAUAUUCCCAUUUUUGCUAACAAGAAUGCUUCAUAGCCAAUUCUGGAUUUCUCUCUCUCGUUAUCGAACUGCAAAAGGUAGCAACAGGAUAGUCGAUAAGAGCAUCGAAUUUGAGCAAGUUGAUAGAGAAAGAAACUGGUACACAUACAUAUAAACCCCCUUCCAACUUCUCUAUUAUCUUGUACUAUAUACUUACUUCCUCGACUGCAUUUGUGCGAGAAGCAUAAAAUAAAACUUGCAGUGAAAAAGUGAUUGAAGGCGAACUAAUGUAAAUCUAUCUGCCUAAAUUUCUUAAUUUACUCAUUAUUUUACUUUUUGUAUUGUUUGAUAUCAGAUCUACCUUACUAAUAAGACAAAUAUAAAACCCAUUUUACAGGGAUGAUCAAAUAAUAUUUAAUGGCAUAUUACUCUAUUUGCUGUUCAUGUAUAUCAAGGAGGUUCAUCAUCUGCCUGUAUGGAGGACAAAUGGAGUGAUAUUGACAAUUUUACUUCAUACUGGUCCAGUCGAGUUCAUCUAUUACUGGCUACACAGGGCACUGCACCACCACUUCCUCUACUCCCGCUACCAUUCCCACCACCACUCCUCCAUUGUUACUGAACCCAUUACAUGUAAGAAAAAGAAGCCCUUUUAAAUAGAUAAUAGAAAAGAAUAAUGUUAUUUGUACGUAAUGAAGUUACGUAAUGGUUUAUGUACAUAUUAGGUUUCAAAAAAAGAGUGUUGAUUUUUUUUUUUUUUUUUUUGGUUGAAGAAUUUCUGUCCAUUCACGUUUCACCAUAUAUAUGUAAACCAUUAUGUACACGUAGUACAACUGAAUAGAAAAUUGGACUGUAUGGAGAGUGAAAUUCGGAUUACCUAGAUGCCAAUGAGUAGGAUUUCAAUAAGAAUUUCAUAGAUGCAGAAUAUAUAUGUCCACAUUUAUUCUAACCACAGCCUUAUUUUUGUUUUAUCAGCUGUAAUUCAUCCAUUUGCAGAGCAUAUUGCAUAUUUUCUGCUCUUCGGUAUACCAAUUCUUACGACUAUGCUGACUGGGACUGCUUCCAUCGCUUCAUUUUCUGGUUAUAUUACAUAUAUUGACUUCAUGAACUACAUGGGUCACUGCAACUUUGAGCUCAUUCCCAAAUGGUUUUUCUCCAUGUUUCCCCCUCUCAAGUUCAUAAUGUACACGCCUUCGUAAGUAAUUUUAUUCCUAAUCAAAGGCAUGGCUCGUGCACAAUGUUAAAAGAUCAUCUGCUACACAAUCACGUUAAAACCACCUAUUUAAUGACGUGCACGUAGUCUGUCCCUUCCUCCUGAUUGAUGUUGAUUCUCUUAUAGAAGACUUGAGAAUCCAGCUGAUAAUUUAUUUGCUAAUGCAGGUUUCACUCUCUUCAUCAUACUCAAUUCAGAACCAAUUACUCGCUUUUCAUGCCAUUCUACGAUUAUGUCUAUGGAACAGUAGACGAAUCCUCCAACUUUUUAUAUCACACUUCACUCGGGAGAAAGGAAGAAGCACCUCAUGUUGUGCAUCUAACUCAUUUGACAACCCCAAAUUCCAUCUAUCAUCAACGUCUAGGUUUUGCAUCACUAGCCUCAAGGCCUCAUAAUUCUACUUGGUACUUGUGGUUAAUUUGGCCCAUCACACUUUGUUCUGCAACUGUAACAUGGAUAUAUGGACGCACGUUCAUUGUGGAGAGAAAUAUUUUCAAGCAUCUAAAAUUGCAAACCUGGGCUAUUCCUAAAUACAGCAUCCAGGUAAGAAAAUUACAUUUUAAGUCAUUUAAGAAUAAGGAGUACGAGUUUCACACAUAAGUUGUGCUUUUCAAGAUAAUGAUUUCUUCUUUUCGCAGUACUACAUGAAAUGGCAAAGAGAAUCUAUCAAUAAUGCGAUUGAAGAAGCUAUACUGGAAGCUGAGGAUAAAGGAAUUAAGAUUUUGAGCCUUGGUUUAUUGAAUCAGGCAAGUCUUACCGCAUGUUUGGCCAAGCUAAAUUAAGGGGCUGUUUGGAAGACAUUUUUAUGUAAAAAUAUAUUUUUGAAUAGAAAUGUGUGGUUGAAAAAUAAAGAAAAGUUUUUGAUUUACAUGUAAUAUUAUUUUAAUAAAGAAUAUGUGGUUGAAAAGAAAAGAGAGAAAAAUGUAUUUUGAAAAAAAUGGGUAUCAAACGGGGAAUAACUUAUUUUGAUUGUCAAAUGCUUACUUUCAAAACAGCUAAAUUAAGUAAAUAACUUAUUUUGACUGUCAAAUGCUACUUUCAAAACAUGCAGCUCUUAGCAAAACAUGCUCUUAAUUUAGAGAUAAGAACUUCUUUUAGUCCUGGACACAAAAUGGAUGUAGGAUUCUUAAAAUUUCUGAAAUGUAUUCACUACUUAUGCAGCAGGAGGAGUUGAACAGGAAUGGUGAGAUGUAUAUAAGAAGGCAUCCUCAGCUAAAACUGAAGCUGGUUGAUGGAAGUAGUUUAGUUGUUGCUGUUGUGAUUAACAGCAUUCCGAAAGGAGCAACUCGGGUGAUCCUUCGAGGUGAAUUAUCAAAAGUUGCUUACUCCCUUGCCUUUGCCUUGUGUAAAGGGGGGAUCCAGGUGAGUUCAACAUUAGUAAUGUCAUAGCAGACUAGUUUAUGAAACCUUGGAAAAUAAGGAGGAUUAUUUAGUAAUAAUAUUCCCCAACUGUUUAGGGCAUGUUUGGUAAGUUGGUACUGAAUAAGAUUUUAGAUUUUUUGGUCCAUUUAAUACAUUUUGGAUGGUAUAACAUUUUACUUUGUUGGUUUGGCCAAUUCUGUCUUCUGGUCAUAGGUAAGCGCAGUACGUCAAGAGGAGCAUAAAAAGCUUAAAGAAGGGCUUGGAAAUACUGAGGCAGCUAAUAAUUUAGUUCAAUAUUCCGAAAGCUUUGUUACAAAGGUAAACUUUAUUCUCCCUAUUGUUUAAUGCAGUUUUCCAUCCUCUUUAGUUAAAGAAGAAGAUGAAGUUUACAUUUCUCUACUUAAUUACAAUCAACAUAUAUUCCGAAUAGUACACUAAUCGGCAAUCUCAGUAUGUUCAACUCGACCACACUCAAUACAAUAUAGUGUUGAAUACCAAUCGUGUCAUAACUCCAUAUACUUUCUAAAGGUGCAGCAAAUCUCCAUCUUCUUCAGUUGUUUUUCUUAACCCCAACAGAAAACUUUAAACCAUUACUUUUAUAAUAUAAGUAUUUUCUUUCCUCAUGUGAUAUUAAUGAAAUGAACAAAUGUUAAUCUUUUAGGCAUGGUUAGUGGGAGAUGGACUAAGUGAAGAUGAACAAUCAAAGGCAUUGGAAGGAACAAUAUUCAUCCCAUUCUCACAAUUUCCUCCGAAGAAAAUGCGCAAAGACUGCUUCUACAACAACACUCCAUCGA